CCUACGGGAGGCAGCAGUAGGGAAUUUUCCGCAAUGGGCGAAAGCCUGACGGAGCAAUACCGCGUGAGGGAUGACGGCCUGUGGGUUGUAAACCUCUUUUCUCAAGGAAGAAGUUCUGACGGUACUUGAGGAAUAAGCAUCGGCUAACUCUGUGCCAGCAGCCGCGGUAAUACAGAGGAUGCAAGCGUUAUCCGGAAUCACUGGGCAUAAAGCGUCUGUAGGUUGUUUAGUAAGUCUGCUGUUAAAGACUGGGGCUUAACCCCAGAAAAGCAGUGGAAACUGCUAGACUCGAGUGUGGUAGAGGUAGAGGGAAUUCCUAGUGUAAGCGGUGAAAUGCGUAGAUAUUAGGAAGAACACCAAUGGCGAAGGCACUCUACUGGGCCAUAACUGACACUGAGAGACGACAGCUAGGGGAGCAAACGGGAUUAGAUACCCCGGUAGUCCUAGCCGUAAACGAUGGAUACUAGAUGUUGCACGUAUUAACCCGUGCAGUAUCGUAGCUAAGGCGUUAAGUAUCCGCUGGGAAGUACGCUCGCAAGAGUGAAACUCAAAGGAAUUGACGG
RNAcentral lists this ribosomal RNA (563 nucleotides) under uncultured bacterium. RNAcentral describes it as "bacterial SSU rRNA". It matches the Rfam family "Bacterial small subunit ribosomal RNA", at positions 338 to 916 of the family's 1533-position model. The record is from RNAcentral.